UAUUUUUGUUUGUAUAUCCUUAUUUCAGCGUUACGGAUAUGGUGAACAUAGGCAUUUUUCCAAAAACUACAUUUUAGCCGCCGGAGGCGUUUGUCAAGUAAGUAUGUAAGUUUUUCAUUUAAAUUUAUUUUUCAAUUUUAAAAGAACAAACAAUGUUUUUUUUAGAGUUUGUAAUAGAUUCGACUUCAAAGAUUCUGGCCCUUGUGUUAAUAUUAACGGCAAAUCUGAACAGGCGCAAGCGGACAAUUCGAUUUCGUCAUUUGAAGAACUCGGCCAUUUAGACUCCGAUGGCGAAGCCAAUCCAGAAGCAUUUAGUCACUCAGAAACGACAAUUACAGUCUUACCCAAUAUCAAGAUGAUCUGCGUUCACCGUUCACUAAGGCAAA
Drosophila ficusphila is the source of this 386-nucleotide long non-coding RNA. RefSeq lists it as uncharacterized. The record is from RefSeq and is a predicted model, not a curated record. NCBI's taxonomy places the organism in Eukaryota, Metazoa, Arthropoda, Insecta, Diptera, Drosophilidae. The transcript is spliced from 2 exons.